CAAUAGCGUAUAUUAAAGUUGUUGCAGUUAAAAAGCUCGUAGUUGGAUUUCUGGCAGGAGCGACCGGUCACACACUCUGUGUGUGAACUUGUGUUGUCUCUGGCCAUCCUUGGGGAGAUCCUGUUUGGCAUUAAGUUGUCGGGCAGGGGACAUCCAUCGUUUACUGUGAAAAAUUAGAGUGUUUAAAGCAGGCUUAUGCCGUUGAAUAUAUUAGCAUGGAAUAAUAAGAUAGGACUUCGGAACUAUUUUGUUGGUUUGCGUUACGAAGUAAUGAUUAAUAGGGACAGUUGGGGGUGCUAGUAUUUAGGGGCCAGAGGUGAAAUUCUUGGAUUCUCUAAAGACUAACUUAUGCGAAAGCAUUCACCAAGGAUGUCUUCUUUAAUCAAGAACGAAAGUUGGGGGAUCGAAGACGAUCAGAUACCAU
Molecule: ribosomal RNA, 424 nt
Filed under: uncultured eukaryote
Lineage: Eukaryota
Description: SSU rRNA
Rfam family: Eukaryotic small subunit ribosomal RNA
Source: RNAcentral